RNAcentral lists this ribosomal RNA (387 nucleotides) under uncultured bacterium. RNAcentral's name for it is "bacterial SSU rRNA". It matches the Rfam family "Bacterial small subunit ribosomal RNA", at positions 28 to 417 of the family's 1533-position model. The record is from RNAcentral.
GACGAACGCUGGCGGCGUGCUUAACACAUGCAAGUCGAGCGGUAAGGCCCUUUCGGGGGUACACGAGCGGCGAACGGGUGAGUAACACGUGGGUGACCUGCCAUCAGCUCUGGGAUAAGCCUGGGAAACCGGGUCUAAUACCGGAUAUGACUCCAUGACGCAUGUUGUGGGGUGGAAAGCCUUGUGCGGCUGAGGAUGGGCCCGCGGCCUAUCAGCUUGUUGGUGGGGUGAGGCCUACCAAGGCGACGACGGGUAGCAGGCCUGAGAGGGCGACCGGCCACACUGGGACUGAGACACGGCCCAGACUCCUACGGGAGGCAGCAGUGGGGAAUCUUGCGCAAUGGGCGAAAGCCUGACGCAGCGACGCCGCGUGAGGGAUGACGGCCU